Molecule: long non-coding RNA, 674 nt
Filed under: Olea europaea subsp. europaea
Lineage: Eukaryota; Viridiplantae; Streptophyta; Magnoliopsida; Lamiales; Oleaceae
Source: RNAcentral
UGGGCAUCAAAAAACCUAACAGUUACACCCUCAUUCUCAAAUCAAACAUAUUUUCUCCCUUUCACCUUAGUAUUGGGUUUCGCCAACCAAAUCGAACCUAUCUUCGUCCUUAAUGUUAGAUAGGAAUGGCAAGCUAGACAAAGGAAAAAGACGAAGGAACUACAUAGGAGGCUGAAAUGAGGACAAGGAAGCGGAAAGAAGGGUUGACGAGUACCGUGAAAUUGGCUUGUGGCUGAAAAUUAUCCAGUAGAAGAGCUUCAGAAAGCCAAGAAAUUGUUUCAAGUCCUAUUGUGGAAAAACCUAUUUCGUCCUCUGAUUUUUGGGUUGUAUGUUGGGUUUUUAAAUAUUCGCGUGUGAAUUGACUUACUGGGUAGCAAUGUCAAGUUGAAACAAUAAAAUGAGUCAGAAAAGGAUUUGUAAACUAUACCUAUGAUUGAAAAAGGGAGGUAUGUUAAUCAUCUCUUGACACCAUUAUCAGUAAUUUCUACAAGGACAAGUCAUUUACCCCAUCACCAAAUUCUGGAGGUAAUACCAGAUCUUUUUUUAGAAACAUGCUUUAAUUCUAUUUGGCUUUAUAUCUUUUCGACUCGAUUUGAUUUCGUGUAAAUGAUUUAAUCUCAAGUGCUUCUCAGUUUCUGGCUCUUUAUAAUUUAUUCUUCAAAAUUGUUAUUUUA